This 554-nucleotide ribosomal RNA is filed under the name Corydalus cornutus (eastern dobsonfly). RNAcentral's name for it is "partial 16S ribosomal RNA". It matches the Rfam family "Bacterial large subunit ribosomal RNA", at positions 1795 to 2621 of the family's 2925-position model. Lineage: Eukaryota; Metazoa; Arthropoda; Insecta; Megaloptera; Corydalidae. The record is from RNAcentral.
CUCGCUUGUUUUUCAAAAACAUGUCUUUUAGAUAAUAAUUUAAAGUCUGGCCUGCCCACUGAAUAUAAUUUAAAGGGCCGCGGUAUUUUGACUGUGCAAAGGUAGCAUAAUCAUUAGUCUUUUAAUUGAAGGCUUGUAUGAAUGGUUGGAUGAAAUAUUAACUGUCUCAAAUUAAUAAGAUAGAAUUUAAUUUUUAAGUUAAAAAGCUUAAAUGUUAUUAGAGGACGAGAAGACCCUAUAGAUUUUUAUAAUUUUUUAUUUAUAAAUAAUUUGGUUGAUAGAAGUUUUUAGGUAAGGAAUUAUUUUAUUGGGGUGAUAAAUAAAUUUAAUAAACUUUAUAAAAUAUAAACAUUAAUGUAUGAAUUAUUGAUCCAUUUUUAGUGAUUAUAAGAUUAAAUUACCUUAGGGAUAACAGCGUAAUUUUUUUAGAGAGUUCAUAUCGAUAAAAAAGUUUGCGACCUCGAUGUUGAAUUAAAGAUUAAUUUAGGUGUAGAAGUUUAAAUUUUUGGUCUGUUCGACCAUUGAAUCUUUACAUGAUCUGAGUCAAACCAGAG